CGGUCCAGCUGACGCUGGAUCACCAGCGGCAGCUGCUGGCGCCCAGAGCGCUGUUCACGUCCAGUAACGCUGCCCAGCUCAGCUACAACGCUACACUACAACGCCAGGGGCAAAACUGCCGCAACUUCGACGCUACCGUCCAGCCUGAGGUGAACAACGCGCAGGCGGCGGUGGGGCUGCGCCUGCAGUUCUGGCUCUCCUCCCCAGCCCUCCCCGCCGCCCAGCUGCCUCCCCAGCCCCGCUCCUCCUUCGGUGCCGAUGAGCGGUCGCCCCCCGUCACCCCCUUGACGUCGCCCGUAACGGACCCGUUGCAACGCGACGGGCAGGCAACGUUCCUGAGCUUUGUGACGGGCUGCGAGGACGACGGUGACCCGUCCUGCCGCAGUGACCUACGGGUCACGGCCUCGUACCCCGA
Hyalella azteca is the source of this 415-nucleotide long non-coding RNA. RefSeq lists it as uncharacterized. The transcript is spliced from 4 exons. The record is from RefSeq and is a predicted model, not a curated record. Lineage: Eukaryota; Metazoa; Arthropoda; Malacostraca; Amphipoda; Hyalellidae.